This 432-nucleotide ribosomal RNA is filed under the name uncultured bacterium. Its description in RNAcentral is "bacterial SSU rRNA". It matches the Rfam family "Bacterial small subunit ribosomal RNA", at positions 355 to 787 of the family's 1533-position model. The record is from RNAcentral.
UGGGGAAUCUUGCGCAAUGGGCGAAAGCCUGACGCAGCGACGCCGCGUGAGGGAUGACGGCUUUCGGGUUGUAAACCUCUUUUAUCCACCACGAAGGCUCCGUAUUCGCGGGGUUGACGGUAGUGGUUGAAUAAGCGCCGGCUAACUACGUGCCAGCAGCCGCGGUAAGACGUAGGGCGCGAGCGUUGUCCGGAUUUAUUGGGCGUAAAGGGCUCGUAGGCGGUUGAUUGCGUCCGCCGUGAAAGGCCUCGGCUUAACCGGGGUUUUGCGGUGGAUACGGGUCGACUUGAGGCAAUUAGGGGAGAUCGGAAUUCUACGUGUAGCGGUGAAAUGCGCAGAUAUGUGGAGGAACACCGGUGGCGAAGGCGGAUCUCUGGGAUUGUUCUGACGCUGAGGAGCGAAAGCGUGGGGAGCGAACAGGAUUAGAUACCC